This is a non-coding RNA of Microcebus murinus (gray mouse lemur), 263 nucleotides long. NCBI's taxonomy places the organism in Eukaryota, Metazoa, Chordata, Mammalia, Primates, Cheirogaleidae. The record is from RefSeq and is a predicted model, not a curated record.
AUCUUAUUUUGCAGAAUGAUUUUCAGGUGCCUUUUUUUUUUUAAAGAUGGCCUGGAUUUCUAUUAUUCCUCAAAACAACAUGCUCAGAAGAUGGUAGAAUUCCUUCAAUGUACAGUUCCUUGUAGACAAAAAGCAUCACAAAGAUUGAUCUCUCAGGAUAUCCAUAGCAACACAUAUAAUUACAAAAGCACUUUUUCUGUGGAAAUUGUUCCAAUAUGCAAGGAUAAUGUUGUCUGUCUGUCUCCAAAACUGGCACAAAGCCU